Molecule: ribosomal RNA, 253 nt
Filed under: uncultured bacterium
Lineage: Bacteria
Description: partial 16S ribosomal RNA
Rfam family: Bacterial small subunit ribosomal RNA
Source: RNAcentral
UACGGAGGGGGCUAGCGUUGUUCGGAAUUACUGGGCGUAAAGCGCACGUAGGCGGCUUUGCAAGUUAGAGGUGAAAGCCCGGGGCUCAACUCCGGAAUUGCCUUUAAAACUGCAUCGCCAGAGUUGUGGAGAGGUAAGUGGAAUUCCGAGUGUAGAGGUGAAAUUCGUAGAUAUUCGGAAGAACACCAGUGGCGAAGGCGACUUACUGGACACAUACUGACGCUGAGGUGCGAAAGCGUGGGGAGCAAACAGG